Molecule: non-coding RNA, 304 nt
Organism: Dermacentor albipictus
Lineage: Eukaryota; Metazoa; Arthropoda; Arachnida; Ixodida; Ixodidae
Source: RefSeq, a predicted model, not a curated record
UUUUUCUAUAGGCUCCCCAGCACAUCAGAAGGUGCGGCAUCUGCUGCUGGCUCUUCAGCGUAAGUUAGUGUUCACUUCCUUGUGUCGGAAUAUGGCACCAUAACAAAGAUUUGUUUGAUGCAGGUUGUCAACUUCACAAGCAGGAGCCACUGCCCCAGAUCCAGGGUCUGCCAAGAGGCGAGCAUCCAAUGGACCUUCCUCUAUGACCAAAAGAAGGCAGUCUGACAGCUUCGACGAAGCGGUGAAAGAUGUCUUGGGCAGCUGCUCAGCUACGCUGUUAGAACUAAAAAAGAAGAAAUGCCUG